RNAcentral lists this unclassified non-coding RNA (378 nucleotides) under uncultured Actinomycetes bacterium. RNAcentral's name for it is "uncultured actinobacterium contains 16S-23S intergenic spacer region". The record is from RNAcentral. Lineage: Bacteria; Bacillati; Actinomycetota; Actinomycetes.
UCCGAGUUGACCCCGGCAGUCUCCUGCGAGUCCCCGCCAUUACGCGCUGGCAACACAGGACAAGGGUUGCGCUCGUUGCGGGACUUAACCCAACAUCUCACGACACGAGCUGACGACAACCAUGCACCACCUGUUUACGAGUGUCCAAAGAGUUGACCAUUUCUGGCCCGUUCUCGUAUAUGUCAAGUCUUGGUUAGGUUCUUCGCGUUGCAUCGAAUUAAUCCGCAUGCUCCGCUGCUUGUGCGGGCCCCCGUCAAUUCCUUUGAGUUUUAGCCUUGCGGCCGUACUCCCCAGGCGGGACACUUAAUGCGUUAGCUUCGGCACGGGAGGAGUCGACACCUCCCACACCUAGUGUCCAUCGUUUACAGCGUGGACUAC